This 486-nucleotide ribosomal RNA is filed under the name Apiocera franckei. RNAcentral describes it as "partial 16S ribosomal RNA". It matches the Rfam family "Bacterial large subunit ribosomal RNA", at positions 1841 to 2584 of the family's 2925-position model. The record is from RNAcentral. Lineage: Eukaryota; Metazoa; Arthropoda; Insecta; Diptera; Apioceridae.
UAAUUUAAGGUCUGACCUGCCCACUGAUGAAGUUGAAUGGCCGCAGUAUAUUAACUGUGCAAAGGUAGCAUAGUCAUUAGUCUUUUAAUUGAAGGCUUGUAUGAAUGGUUGGACGAGGUAUUUACUGUUUCACAAGAAUUUAAUUAGAAUUUCAUUUUUUAGUUAAAAAGCUGAAAUGAGAUUAAAAGACGAGAAGACCCUAUAGAGCUUUAUUUUUCAUAUUUUUUUAAUUGUGAAGUGUGCUUUGAUUAUAAAUUUGUGAAUUAUUUUGUUGGGGUGACAUCAAGAUUUGAAAAACUCUUGAGUGUAAGAGACAUUGAUUUAUGGGUGUGUUGAUCCAUUAGUAAUGAUUAGAAAAUCAAGUUACCUUAGGGAUAACAGCGUAAUUUUCUUGGAGAGUUCUUAUCGAUAAGAAGGAUUGCGACCUCGAUGUUGGAUUAAGAGAAAAGAUCCGGGCGCAGCCGCUCGGAGUAAAAGUCUGUUCGA